GAGAGUGGGUUAGUCCGCACGAGCGCACCCUACCCUUAUUGCCAUCGGGUUAUGCCGGGCACUUUAGGGGGACUGCCGGUGACAAGCCGGAGGAGGGUGGGGAUGACGUCAAGUCCUCAUGGCCUUUAUGACCAGGGCUACACACGUGUUACAAUGGGAGUUACAGAGGGAAGCUAAACCGCGAGGUCAUGCCAAUCCCAGAAAAACUUUCUCAGUUCGGAUCGCAGUCUGCAACUCGACUGCGUGAAGCUGGAAUCGCUAGUAAUCGCGGAUCAGCACGCCGCGGUGAAUACGUUCCCGGGCCUUGUACACACCGCCCGUCACACCAUGGGAGCCGACAAGGGCAGAAGUCGCCGAGCUAACCUUCGGGAAGCAGGCGCCCAAGCUGUUGUUGACGACUGGGGUGAAGUCGUAACAAGGUAGCCGUAGGAGAACCUGCGGCUGGAUCACCUCCUUUCU
Molecule: ribosomal RNA, 459 nt
Filed under: uncultured marine bacterium 106
Lineage: Bacteria
Description: bacterial SSU rRNA
Rfam family: Bacterial small subunit ribosomal RNA
Source: RNAcentral